ACCCGGCUUCUCAUAGCCCGCUUCUGCUUCCGCCUGCAGCACACCGACCACUGAAGUGAGGUGGUUUAUCGUUGGGAAGAGGCCACCUUACUGCCAACCACAGUAGGCUUCUCAUCUGCAAAGUGGAGUAUACUAGGGUCCCAUGAUGAGCGAGACUCUAAGUAGCAGACCAAACUCACAAAGAUGGUGGUGACACUUUGAGGAUGCUCUGAAAACCAUCACAGAUUCAGAGACCUAAAGAAGGUUAUUGAAUCAAGUGUUGCCCCAGGCCCAGUUUGGAACUCCAAGUGCUGCUCCAGACCAGGUCUUGAUGUGCCUUCAAUACUCUACAAACUCCCUAAGUUUGCUGAUUUGAUUAUUCUCACACAAAGGAAGACAUUGAGGCUUGGAGGAAACCUGCAUGUGCUACAGCUAAUGAAGGCAUAGUUACAAGGGCUGUUUCUGAAACAAGUGACAAGAAUAAGCGUGUCUUGAAAAUGGAUGGCACUAGAAGAAACCAUCCUGAGCAAGAUAACCCAGUCACAAAAAGACAAACAUGAGUCUUCAUCCAGUGGCUGAUGGAAGCAGAGCCAGACACCCACAGCUAAACAAUGCA
Molecule: long non-coding RNA, 595 nt
Organism: Mesocricetus auratus (golden hamster)
Lineage: Eukaryota; Metazoa; Chordata; Mammalia; Rodentia; Cricetidae
Exons: 4
Source: RefSeq, a predicted model, not a curated record